This 403-nucleotide ribosomal RNA is filed under the name uncultured bacterium. Its description in RNAcentral is "bacterial SSU rRNA". It matches the Rfam family "Bacterial small subunit ribosomal RNA", at positions 355 to 775 of the family's 1533-position model. The record is from RNAcentral.
UAGGGAAUAUUAGAAAUGGACGAAAGUCUGAUCUAGCAACACCGCGUGUGCGAAGAAGGCCUUCGGGUUGUAAAGCACUUUUUGGAAGGAUUAGGAAGGAAUGUACUUCCAGAAUAAGUCUCGGCUAACUACGUGCCAGCAGCCGCGGUAACACGUAGGAGGCAAACGUUAUCCGGAUUUACUGGGCGUAAAGCGCGUGUAGGUGGUUCUGUAAGUAGGGCGUGAAAGCUCCUGGCUCAACUGGGAGAGGCCGUUCUAAACUGCAGAACUAGAGGAUGGUAGAGGGAGGUGGAAUUCCAGGUGUAGCGGUGGAAUGCGCAGAUAUCUGGAGGAACACCGGUGGCGAAGGCGGCCUCCUGGACCAUUCCUGACACUCAGACGCGAAAGCUAGGGUAGCAAACGG